RNAcentral lists this ribosomal RNA (386 nucleotides) under uncultured Tsukamurella sp. RNAcentral's name for it is "bacterial SSU rRNA". It matches the Rfam family "Bacterial small subunit ribosomal RNA", at positions 960 to 1356 of the family's 1533-position model. The record is from RNAcentral. Lineage: Bacteria; Bacillati; Actinomycetota; Actinomycetes; Mycobacteriales; Tsukamurellaceae.
AACGGAAGACCUUACCUGGCUUGACAUAUAGAGGAUCGCUACAGAGAUGUGGUUUCCCUUGUGGCUUUAUACAGGUGGUGCAUGGUUGUCGUCAGCUCGUGUCGUGAGAUGUUGGGUUAAGUCCCGCAACGAGCGCAACCCUUGUUUAUGUUGCCAGCACGUAUGGUGGGGACUCUGGAGACUGCCGGGGUAACCGGAGGAAGGUGGGGAUGACGUCAAAUCAUCAUGCCCCUUAUGUCCAGGGCUUCACACAUGCUACAAUGGCCGGUACAGAGGGCUGCGAUGCCGUGAGGCGGAGCAAUCUCUAAAGCCGGUCUCAGUUCGGAUUGGGGUCUGCAACUCGACCCCAUGAAGUCGGAGUCGCUAGUAAUCGCAGAUCAGCAUCG